RNAcentral lists this ribosomal RNA (304 nucleotides) under uncultured bacterium. RNAcentral's name for it is "partial 16S ribosomal RNA". It matches the Rfam family "Bacterial small subunit ribosomal RNA", at positions 506 to 809 of the family's 1533-position model. The record is from RNAcentral.
CAGCAGCAGCCACGGUAAAACGUAGGGUGCAAGCGUUAAUCGGAAUUACUGGGCGUAAAGCGUGCGCAGGCGGUUAUAUAAGUCAGAUGUGAAAUCCCCGGGCUCAACCUGGGAACUGCAUUUGAGACUGUAUGGCUAGAGUGUGUCAGAGGGGGGUAGAAUUCCACGUGUAGCAGUGAAAUGCGUAGAUAUGUGGAGGAAUACCGAUGGCGAAGGCAGCCCCCUGGGAUAACACUGACGCUCAUGCACGAAAGCGUGGGGAGCAAACAGGAUUAGAUACCCGUGUAGUCCCUGUCUCUUAUAA